UACAUGGAAGGACUUUAGCUAUACGAUCUGCAGAACUUGCUGCUAGAGGGCUACCUUCUUUGAAGAAGCUGCCAAGCAAAGGAUCUACCUUUCUGCUGGGACAGAGCUUGUUGAUGGUCUCUGCUUAUCCAAACAUGGCAUCAGCGUCAGAGAGCGUGAAGCAUGAACCGGUUUACGAAGUUGGAGAGUUGUUUGAAUUAGGUAUUCAGCUUUCUUACUUGCUGUUGCUACUGGGUUUGCUCGGAGUUGGUACUUUCUAUGUGAUUCGUCAAGUACUUGUCCGCAGAGAGCUUGACCUCUCUGCCAAAGAGCUACAGGUAUUGAUUCUGAUCCCAAGUAUUAACCUUUGUGUUAGAAAUAGAAAAUUAGAUGAAAGGCCAGUAGAGAACUGAUGAAAUAAUAUUUGAUGUCUCUGAAUGUUUUUAGCAAACCAAUGUUAUUAGACUGAUUCAAGUAAGUAGCCAUGCUUAGACAGACUUUAAAACAUCUGAUCAAAACUGUUUUAUAUGGUUUUUGUGUUUGUCUGAAUAAUCUGAAGGAGCAAGUUAGGAGCGGGGAUGCAAGUGCAACAGAGCUCUUUGAGCUGGGUGCAGUGAUGCUGAGACGCAAAUUUUAUCCUGCAGCCAACAAGUUCUUGCUUCAAGCUAUCCAGAAAUGGGACGGUGACGAUCAAGAUCUUGCUCAGGUAAUAAUACAAAUUAAUUUACACACACAAGCACACACUGUUUCCAUCAAGUACAAAUGAUGAGUACAAUUCUCGAGACAGGUCUAUAACGCUCUUGGAGUGAGUUAUGUCCGAGAGGACAAACUGGACAAAGGAAUCGCUCAGUUUGAAAUGGCGGUGAAAAUUCAGCCUGGUUAUGUAACGGCUUGGAACAACCUUGGAGAUGCUUAUGAGAAGAAGAAGGAGCUGCCUUUGGCGUUGAAAGCGUUUGAAGAGGUUUUGUUGUUUGAUCCUAACAAUAAGGUGGCUCGGCCUCGCCGAGAUGCGUUGAAGGAUCGUGUUAAACUCUAUAAAGGCGUUGUGGCGGUCAAGUCCAAGAAACGGUGACGAAAAACCGAUAAACCAAGAACUCCCCCUCGUCUCUCUUAUGUUAUUUUUGUAAGGACAUUUUGUGUUAUUAUUAUGAAUAUGAAACUUGUUUACUGUUUUUACUCUUAACAAUAAAUCACUCAUCUUAUUAUUCAGAUAUCGAUACAAUGUUUAUAAAUAAUGAUAACAUGAUGAGAAAUAAGGUCACGCAAGAUACUAAAGAAGCAACAACGUAAAUAGAAGAUGUUCAGUGCAUGUAACAUAGAGGUUUUUGUUGUCUCAAGGACACUUGAGCUUAUUGCCGUGAGUACGGAGAUUAGCGUAGCAAGGACAUGAUGCUGUGUUGCCUGAGGUUCCGGGCGGCACGCACUGGCACUUGGCACAGCAACUUCCACAAGCUCUGUAACACACUUUCUUCCUCGACGUCUCUCUGCAUCUCCUCGCGCACGCAUACCCACAAUCUGCAAAUAUUUGGCUCAUACAUUAAUCAAAAAGUUGUUUGGCAAAAUAAAAGAAGAAGACUUAGAAUGUUACUAACUGAAUGGUGGACGAUGAUGGUAUGUUCUCUUAAACGCCUCCACUUGGUUCUCCUCGUUCGUCUGAAUCUAUAAGCAACACAAGAAACCGAGUUUAUUUGAUAUGGAAAGCUUGUUUUAAUAUGUUUUUAUUAUUUUUAUUUACCUGAGAAGCAGAGGAAGUUUCAGCGUUGCUGGACGAAGAUAGAUCUGCAAGUACCUGUGAAAGAAUCAGACAAGAACGUCUCAGUGUUUUUAGUUAGUAUGUUUGCAACAAAGAGAAGCUAAAUCUUGAACAAUGUUUUGAUCAUUUUUACCUGAGAAAGCAGAAGAAGAGAGAUGAGCAUAACAAAGGCCACCACUUUCAUCUUCUCCAUCUUGUCGGUUUUGAAGUAGUUUGUGAAAAUAGAAGCUGUGGAUGGUUCUUUAUAUAGACACAAUGUAGCUAUUUUGUCUUCUUCCUCUUUUCUUUUGUUGAGUGAAAAAAAAACCUCAUGUUGAUAGGUAUCACAUGCAAUAGGCUUUCAUCGCUGGACUAGACAUAAAUCACAGAUAUUAGAUUGAGUUUUGCUGUAAAGUGUUGGUGUUUGAUGCAACAGUUUUGAUUGGUCUUUGAGGAUAUAUCUAAUUUAUUACGCAAGGACGAAGAAGAAAAUUCAAACCUUGUUCACUGAAAUCUAAAUCAAGCUUAAAUACAUGAAAUGAGUGUAAAUUUACAGUAAAAAUAUAUAGGCUGGUUUUAACAAGGUACUGUAAUGUGUGUGACUUCACUGACUUGUCGACACACGUAUGGAGAGACAAGUGUACUUAAAGUGUAUAAAGAAAGAGGCAAUUAGGUAGUUUGAAAAUUAAUGUCUUAAUGAUAUCUUUGCCAUAAGAGUGUUAUAACAGCUGUCUCUUAGUUCAGACAUAGAACAGCUGAGAGAGAUAGAUGAAGAAAAACGCAUGCAGACGCAAUGUUGUUCGAAAAAGCAGAUGGCAAUGUUUGGCUCCGAUUGGUGAAAACGUAAUAUUAUUACUGUCUUCUAUAAACCACAUUCAAAAUUUCCAAACGCGCAUGAUGAGACUUUAAACGGAGAACGAAACCGAAUAACUACUUAGGCCACGAUUGUUUAUUUGCAUAAUUGCGUCUGUGUUGGUGUUUUCAUGUUAUAGGGAUCAAUAUGUAAGUUCAAACGCAAAGCUUUAUAUAAAUUUAUAUAGUUGAUAGGUUAUAUGCAUUUAAUACGGACAGAUUCGCAAGUUAAUAACUUAUUGAGAUGACUUAAUAUGAUUUUUACAAGUCAUCUCAAUUUUUUUUUAAACACUUAUUGAGAUGAUUUUACAAGUCACCGAUAUUAAUACAUGGGGUUUCAUCGACCAUACGGAAUAUGCAAUAAUAAUUUGAAACUAAAGAUUUGUAUGUUUCGUCUCAACAGGACUUUCUCUAGGUGUUCUGAAUCUGGCUAUUGUCGUCCCACAGGUAAAGAAAACGUUUGAAAUCAGUUUUAUUUAAUUAUUUACAAAAAAUGUUCACAUCCUGAUAUGUAUUUGUUGUUUCAUUAAAACGUAGAUGGUGGUAUCUGUGGGAGGUGGACCAUUCGAUGAACUAUUCCAUGGUGGAAACAUUCCGGCGUUUGUGCUAGGAGCAAUUGCGGCCGCGGUGAGUGGCAUAUUGGCUUUAACCGUGUUGCCUUCGCCGCCACCGGAUGCUCCAGCUUUCAAAACUGGGGCUAUGGGAUUUCAUUAAAGUUUUAGCAGUGUUUCAGUGGCUAUGUAACUCUCAUAAAACUGUAGUGUUAUUGUGCAAAUCCUACAUAAAGAGAAAAAAGGAAAUUCAUCUUCUUGGGUUGUUGGUUUAUAUUGUACCUAAACCCAUUGUGUUCCUUUUUUGUAACUGAAAUUUUCAAUUUGGAGUAUAUUUCACCUUUUGCCACCUUCAAGGCUUCAUUAUUACUACUUCAUUGUUUUGGAUCUUUCAGUCAUAUCUCACACAAGAAGAAUUGUAUUGUUUUUUUUGUUUCAUAAUAAAACUUAAAAUGUAAUAAUUAAUCUAGAAGAAUAAUUAUUUUUGAUGGUUUUCUUUUUUUUGUCAAGUGUAUUAGAAAUUUAGAACCGAGUUGAGUUAUACAUGUAAUUAAUAAAUACUUUUUAAAAUUCCAAAAAUGCAUUAUGUUACCUUACUCGUAGUUAUAAAUAAGCCUCUUUAGCUAUUACAUCGGCUUCACGUACAAUUUUCCUCACAAAUACAAAAGCUAAAAUCAGGAUGAGCUAGGCUGAUACUAUCUUUGGUGAGUAUAGCUACAGACUGGUUCUUUCAACCGUAAGAUAUAUCCUGAUGAAGAAAUUGUCUCCUACAACAGAUCAAACACACACAAGUUUAGUACAUUAAUUCUUCACGAGCUCCUGAUCUGCAGAUCUGAAUUUAAUAUUCGGAUUAUAAAACCUAUAACUAGUGUCUUAUUAAUAACGUUAGUCAGGUGUAGACCACCAUCAGUUCAGGACGCAAUCUGAUUGUAAAGCUGAUUUAUUGUUGCAAUAUAGUUUUCACAUUACAAAAAAAAAAGCACAAAAUGAUGAAUAUACACUUUUAUGUUUAGAGCAAUAAAAAUAAAUAAAAUAUGCAGAUUAAAAUUCUAAUAAAGAGAAAGAGAGAGAGUCCGGGCGGGGUAAACCCGGAAACCCGAAGAGUAACGCGGGUGGGCCUUAUCUUCAUCUUCCUCACCACACACACAACAAACACGCACACUCGUGGAUUUCAAACUUUGAGAGUAAUCUCAUCGGGACCUUUAUGAUCUCAUCGAACAUGCUUCUCCAUACGCUAUCGUCAUCGUCUCCACCCAUUCACCGCCUCUACCUCCACCAUUCUCAGAUUCUCCCUUCCUCUUCCUCUGUGUCUCUCAAGUUCCAUCCCAAAACGAUUUCUUUACAGGUAAACACUCCAACUUUCUCUCAAAGAAUCUGACUUUAUUGCAAUAUUAGAGAAUUCAAUUGGCUAAUCUUCCUCCAUGUUCUUUAAACGUGUGGAUGAAGGCAGAUACAUGGAAGGACUUUAGCUAUACGAUCUGCAGAACUUGCUGCUAGAGGGCUACCUUCUUUGAAGAAGCUGCCAAGCAAAGGAUCUACCUUUCUGCUGGGACAGAGCUUGUUGAUGGUCUCUGCUUAUCCAAACAUGGCAUCAGCGUCAGAGAGCGUGAAGCAUGAACCGGUUUACGAAGUUGGAGAGUUGUUUGAAUUAGGUAUUCAGCUUU
This 4778-nucleotide long non-coding RNA is filed under the name Brassica napus (rape). RNAcentral's name for it is "long non-coding RNA (BNAP_LNC008097)". Lineage: Eukaryota; Viridiplantae; Streptophyta; Magnoliopsida; Brassicales; Brassicaceae. The record is from RNAcentral.